This 387-nucleotide ribosomal RNA is filed under the name uncultured bacterium. Its description in RNAcentral is "bacterial SSU rRNA". It matches the Rfam family "Bacterial small subunit ribosomal RNA", at positions 30 to 409 of the family's 1533-position model. The record is from RNAcentral.
AUUGAACGCUGGCGGCAGGCCUAACACAUGCAAGUCGAAUGGUAACAGGAAACAGCUUGCUGUUUCGCUGACGAGUGGCGGACGGGUGAGUAAUGUCUGGGAAACUGCCUGAUGGAGGGGGAUAACUACUGGAAACGGUAGCUAAUACCGCAUAACGUCGCAAGACCAAAGAGGGGGGACCUUCGGGGCCUCUUGCCAUCAGAUGUGCCCAGAUGGGAUUAGCUAGUAGGUGGGGUAACGGCUCACCUAGGCGACGAUCCCUAGCUGGUCUGAGAGGAUGACCAGCCACACUGGAACUGAGACACGGUCCAGACUCCUACGGGAGGCAGCAGUGGGGAAUAUUGCACAAUGGGCGCAAGCCUGAUGCAGCCAUGCCGCGUGUAUGAA